CUAAGAUUGUCCAACCUAGCAAAGAAAAAGCCUAGUAAGUUUAAUUUGAUUUUUUUCCCUAUUUUCUUCACUGAAACUUCCUUAACAUCACCUUUGUGGCUCUUUGCUGAUUUUCUAUUGCUUCUAGGUUUGGGUGAUUUUAAGGUCUGUUAAUUGAAGACUUUCUAUUGGAUUUCGAUUUCAAUUGUUGGUUAUUGUGCUUGCUUAUGCAUUUGUUGCUUUAAUUUCUUUUUGAUGAUUACUUCUGCUUAAUUGAUUAAUGCUUGAUUGCUAUCUAUGUAUGCUCGAUUGCUGGAUGUAUUGUAUUGCUCUGUGCUUGAUUGUUUGCUGAUCGGAUCUGUUUUUGUAUGUUGAGCUUUGGGUAUUGUAGGAAACUGGUUUUGUUUGCAGGAUUACUUCUUUCUUGCUUGUUGGGGUCCAAAAUUAAUGGGGCUAUCGAAUGAGUUUUUUCUACCGAUUGAUUGUUGUUGUUGCUGCUCAAUUCCUUCCUUAUUCAUAGAUUGGGGGUGUCUUUUAUAAGGAUUGAAUCCUUUCAAACUUGGAAAUUUUAAAUUCUAUUAAAUCUAGGAUUUCACAAAUUCUGUAUGAUUUUUGGCAUGAAUUAAAACCCAAGUUUCCCAUAAUUGAUUAAUCAAUAAAUCUUAACAUUCAAUUGAAUCAAGACCCAAAAGAUUUUUCACCUUUUUUUCUUUUUAUUUUUGACUUUUUUUUAACUUUUUACCAAAACUAAACAAAAAAACUAAAAUAAAAUUAAAAUAGAAAUUAGACUAAAAUUAAAACUAAAAUUAAAAUUAAAACCAAAUUAAAAUCAAAAUUAAAACUAAGAUAAGAUUUUUGGGCUUUUAUCCCUUAAGCCUAAAGAAUUUUAUUAAGACUUAAUUUGCGAUCUAGGCCCAUUUCAAUUUCAACAAAUUUUUUGGACAAAAUAGAGUAUCUAUAGUUGUCUCUCUGUGUAUUUUUUAUGAAACAUGAAUUGUACAAAGACAAAAGACAUCCAUUUUAUUCUGGUUAAGAAAAUUUGAAAGAGAAAAUUACAAAGGUUUCUCUUCAUAGGUUUGAAAUUUUUUGAAAAAUGCUUCUCCCACAAUUGAGGUUUUAAAACUUUUGGAAAAUAAAAUGUCCCUUACAAUUAAGGCUUUGAAAAUAAAAUGCUCCCCCAUAACUAAGGCUUUGAAACUUUUGAAAAAUAAAAUCCUUCCCCACAACUAAAGCUUUGAAACUUUUGAAAAAUAAAAUGAUAUCAUUCUUACCUAGGAAAAAGCUCAUCACUGAUAAAGGCAUUGAAAUUUAAAAACUCUUACCUUAAGUUGAGUCUCUGCAUCUCAUCUAAUUCAUCAUUGAUUACCUUCCAAAGUGUCUUUCAAAACAUUUCAACAUCAGCUUCUUUUUCUACUUUCCAAAUGUAUGCAAUGAAAGCAAACAAUGAAUGAAAAGAUUUUUCAAGAUUCAUUUCAAUUUCAUGAUUCAAUCUUUAAUUAUCUUAUCUUUUUCAAACAUGCAUGAUGCAUAGAAUGAAUGCAAUGCUUUCAGUGUGAUGCAUAUAAUGCAUAUGGAAAAGUGCGAUGCAUGCCAUGCAAUUCAUUUAUCUUCUCAAUUUUGGUAAAUUAAAAGGUUCUCAAAGCUCUUAAUUUAUCUUUUUACUUUCUUUAACUCUUCAACCCUUGUGGCUUUCAACAUGAGUUAUCAUGCCCUAUCAAGUAGUCUCAUCUAAAUUCAAGAUUUUUUAUCAACAUGGCUUAUCAUGCAUGAUCCUUAUAGACAUCAUGCAUUAUCAAGUAAUCUCAUCCAUUUUAUCAUCCUAAUUCAAAGGUAGGUUAUCAUGCGCGAUCCUUAUAGAUAUCAUGCACAUCAAGUAAUCUCAUCCACUUUAUCAUUCAAAGGCAAGAUGAGACCUUUAAGAAUUUUAUUCUAAAUUAUUGGGGAUUGAUAUUCUUUCGGCCUUCUUAUUACCUUUACUAUUUUCUUCCUUUUUCUAAAGUAAUGUGGAGAUCUUUUAUGCAUUUUUUCAUUUACUCAUCAUUAUUGCAAUAAUACAACAAAUACAAUGCAAUCAUAUAUUUUUUCAAUCAAAAUAGAGAUAAAUAAGGCAAUGUGAAAGGUAAGAAAGAUAUUUAUUGAAAGAAAUGGAUUUGGUAAAUAAAAGAGGAUAAUCAAUCGAUAAUUAAAUGGGUAUCAAAGUAUCUAAAUAAGAAAAAGACAAUGGUUGAUCAAUAAUUGAAUGGGUAAUAACGUAUUCAAAUAAUGAAUGUU
This 2250-nucleotide long non-coding RNA is filed under the name Durio zibethinus. Its description in RNAcentral is "long non-coding RNA (DZIB_LNC000666)". The record is from RNAcentral. Lineage: Eukaryota; Viridiplantae; Streptophyta; Magnoliopsida; Malvales; Malvaceae.